This is a non-coding RNA of Ameiurus melas (black bullhead), 74 nucleotides long. The record is from the annotation of a GenBank genome assembly. NCBI's taxonomy places the organism in Eukaryota, Metazoa, Chordata, Actinopteri, Siluriformes, Ictaluridae.
GGCAGUGGUGGCUUGGUGGUUAAAGCUCUGAAUUACUCAUCAGAAGAUCAGGGGUUCGAGCUCCAGCGCUGCCA